RNAcentral lists this ribosomal RNA (489 nucleotides) under uncultured bacterium. RNAcentral describes it as "bacterial SSU rRNA". It matches the Rfam family "Bacterial small subunit ribosomal RNA", at positions 28 to 517 of the family's 1533-position model. The record is from RNAcentral.
GAUGAACGCUAGCGGCAGGCUUAACACAUGCAAGUCGAGGGGCAGCACGUCUUCGGAUGGUGGCGACCGGCGCACGGGUGCGUAACGCGUAUACAACCUACCUUAUAGAGGGGAAUAGCCCAGAGAAAUUUGGAUUAAUGCCCCAUAGUAUUAUUGAAUAGCAUUAUUUGAUGAUUAGACAUUUAUGGCUAUAAGAUGGGUAUGCGUUCUAUUAGCUAGAUGGUAAGGUAACGGCUUACCAUGGCAACGAUAGAUAGGGGUCCUGAGAGGGAGAUCCCCCACACUGGUACUGAGACACGGACCAGACUCCUACGGGAGGCAGCAGUGAGGAAUACUGGACAAUGGGCGAGAGCCUGAUCCAGCCAUGCCGCGUGCAGGAAGACGGCCCUAUGGGUUGUAAACUGCUUUUAUACGGGAAGAACACUCCUUCGUGAAGGAGCUUGACGGUACCGUAAGAAUAAGGAUCGGCUAACUCCGUGCCAGCAGCCG